Molecule: ribosomal RNA, 444 nt
Filed under: uncultured bacterium
Lineage: Bacteria
Description: bacterial SSU rRNA
Rfam family: Bacterial small subunit ribosomal RNA
Source: RNAcentral
AGCGAACGCUGGCGGCAGGCCUAACACAUGCAAGUCGAACGGAUCCUUCGGGAUUAGUGGCGGACGGGUGAGUAACACGUGGGAACGUGCCUUUUGGUUCGGAACAACUCAGGGAAACUUGAGCUAAUACCGAAUGUGCCCUUCGGGGAAAGAUUUAUCGCCAUUAGAGCGGCCCGCGUCUGAUUAGCUUGUUGGUGAGGUAAAGGCUCACCAAGGCUACGAUCAGUAGCUGGUCUGAGAGGAUGAUCAGCCACAUUGGGACUGAGACACGGCCCAAACUCCUACGGGAGGCAGCAGUGGGGAAUCUUGCGCAAUGGGCGAAAGCCUGACGCAGCCAUGCCGCGUGAAUGAUGAAGGUCUUAGGAUUGUAAAAUUCUUUCACCGGGGACGAUAAUGACGGUACCCGGAGAAGAAGCCCGGCUAACUCGUGCCAGCAGCCGCGGU